GUGAUAGGUUUGUGCGCGAGCGUUCGUGUCAGUGAAGUAAUCACAAUUUCAUGCAAUUCGCAGUCAGUUUCUGGAAUUAGUAACGCUUGCGAUGUAAAAUUUGUCAAUGAAACACUAACAUGACAAGAAAGUGAACUUUUAAAACGAGUCCAUCGUUGUAGUCUAUAACACUGACAAGUCCGAAGAGCAAAUUGUGGAAAAGUUUUUUUAGGGUUGCCAUCGACUGACUGACUGCCAGCCUCCGAAUAUUAAUUUCUACCAUCAAACAGGCAUAGCUAUUAUAAUUUGGAUCAGAGAGGAUGUGAUGGGAAGAUGAUAAUGCUAUUUGAAGACAAAGAUGGACCAUGAUUGAUUGGGAUCUUAAUUAUGCUGUCCUUGAAUGAAAAACGCAAAAAGAGAGCAGCGAACCGAACUGGAAACGGCACACUCCGGGUUUCUUUCAGCUUCCUGCAGCACUGCUUUAGGGAGGCGCCACAGAACACGUUCCAGACGUUUUUCUGAGUAGUAAAUCCAAC
RNAcentral lists this long non-coding RNA (515 nucleotides) under Sinocyclocheilus anshuiensis. Its description in RNAcentral is "lncRNA (ENSSANG00000045654.1)". The record is from RNAcentral. Lineage: Eukaryota; Metazoa; Chordata; Actinopteri; Cypriniformes; Cyprinidae.